UAAGAAUAUUAGUCAAUGCUCGCAAGAGUGAACUAGCUAACUGAAAUCAUAGAAUUUCUUCAAAUUCAUGAUGUCGUAAGGGAAAAUAAUGAUAAUACCUUACUAUGAGUGUCGUCCAAAUCUGGUGCCAGAAGACUCGGUAAGACCAGAGACGCAAACGUUAAUCAUCAUAAACAGGCGUAAAGGGUUUGUAGGCAGCUUUCACCAAACUAUGAUUACAAAAUAAAGUAGUUUAAUUGAAAGCUAGAAUCAAAAAGAGGUUAUAGUGUAUAACGCCUAGAGGAGGGCUGAUAUCCAUAGAUCCUAGGCAGAAUACUCAGGGCGAAGGCCACUCUCCACUACUGAUUGACGGUGAGAAACGAAGGUUAGGGUAGGAAAUAGGAUUAGAUACCCCGGUACUCCUUUCUGUAAACGAUGAAUGGUAGUCAUUAGUUUUAUAACUAGAGACGAAGUUAACACAAUAACCAUUCCGCCUUGUGAGUACUACUGCAAAGUAGAAAACAAAAAAAUUAGUCGGUCUCGAAGCAAACGGAGUGAAGCUAG
This 543-nucleotide ribosomal RNA is filed under the name Daedalea confragosa. RNAcentral describes it as "partial small subunit ribosomal RNA". It matches the Rfam family "Bacterial small subunit ribosomal RNA", at positions 356 to 943 of the family's 1533-position model. The record is from RNAcentral. Lineage: Eukaryota; Fungi; Basidiomycota; Agaricomycetes; Polyporales; Fomitopsidaceae.